UUUUAAUUGAAGGCUUGUGUGAAGGGUUGGACAAAGGAUAAGCUGUCUUUAUUUUUGUUUUUGAAUUUGUCUUUUAAGUGAAAAGACUUAAAUUAUUUUAAGGGACGAUAAGACCCUAUAAAUCUUUAUAUUAAUAUAUUUUUAUUUUAAUUUUUAAUGUUUAUUGGAAAAAGAUAUAAAAUAUUGUAUUGGGGUGAUAAGAAUAAUGAAUAAACUGUUCUAACAAUAACAAAGUUAUUUGAUUAUAUAAUAGAUCCUUUUUAGAGAUUAGAAGUUUAAGUUACUUUAGGGAUAACAGCGUUAUUUUUUUUGAGAGUUCUAAUCGAAAAAAAAGUUUGCGACCUCGAUGUUGAAUUAAAAUUUCUUUAUGGUGUAGCCGCUAUAAGAGAGAGUCUGUUCGACUUUUAAAAUUUUACGUGAUCU
This 423-nucleotide ribosomal RNA is filed under the name Galathea setigera. RNAcentral's name for it is "partial 16S ribosomal RNA". The stretch from base 291 to 423 matches the Rfam family "Bacterial large subunit ribosomal RNA", at positions 2473 to 2606 of the family's 2925-position model. The record is from RNAcentral. Lineage: Eukaryota; Metazoa; Arthropoda; Malacostraca; Decapoda; Galatheidae.